RNAcentral lists this ribosomal RNA (465 nucleotides) under Vreelandella stevensii. Its description in RNAcentral is "partial 16S ribosomal RNA". It matches the Rfam family "Bacterial small subunit ribosomal RNA", at positions 338 to 795 of the family's 1533-position model. The record is from RNAcentral. Lineage: Bacteria; Pseudomonadati; Pseudomonadota; Gammaproteobacteria; Oceanospirillales; Halomonadaceae.
CCUACGGGUGGCAGCAGUGGGGAAUAUUGGACAAUGGGCGAAAGCCUGAUCCAGCCAUGCCGCGUGUGUGAAGAAGGCCUUCGGGUUGUAAAGCACUUUCAGUGGGGAAGAAAGCCUUGGGGCUAAUACCCUCGAGGAAGGACAUCACCCACAGAAGAAGCACCGGCUAACUCCGUGCCAGCAGCCGCAGUAAUACGGAGGGUGCGAGCGUUAAUCGGAAUUACUGGGCGUAAAGCGCGCGUAGGCGGUCUGAUAAGCCGGUUGUGAAAGCCCCGGGCUCAACCUGGGAACGGCAUCCGGAACUGUCAGGCUAGAGUGCAGGAGAGGAAGGUAGAAUUCCCGGUGUAGCGGUGAAAUGCGUAGAGAUCGGGAGGAAUACCAGUGGCGAAGGCGGCCUUCUGGACUGACACUGACGCUGAGGUGCGAAAGCGUGGGUAGCAAAUAGGAUUAGAUACCCGGGUAGUC